Hevea brasiliensis (rubber tree) is the source of this 643-nucleotide long non-coding RNA. RefSeq lists it as uncharacterized. Lineage: Eukaryota; Viridiplantae; Streptophyta; Magnoliopsida; Malpighiales; Euphorbiaceae. The record is from RefSeq and is a predicted model, not a curated record. The transcript is spliced from 3 exons.
GGUUUUGAUUUCUCUUGGUAGUUGCUUUUUGUCCAACUCUUUCUAUCUACAAGUUUUGACUCAUAAGAGAGUAUUCACAAAUUCAAUCAAGUAGUACACAACAGCUCUCUGAUAAAGCAUGGGAUAGGCAUUUUAUUAAUUGGUUCAAAGUUAGAGUGACAAGAUUGCAUAAGACUAUGAACAACAAAAAAAUAGAAGACUUACUUUCACUAUCUCGUGGUCCUUCCCAAUAUGUUACCUGCUAUAAAGGGUAAAUUUGUAAUGGAUUUAGAUUUCAUACAGAAGAUCAUGAAAAAGGUUUAAGGACACAAAAUAGUGGAGUGGUAGUUGUUGGUGAUAAUGGCGUAGAUAGAUAUUGCAAACAUUGAUUUUUAUGGGGUUUUAACUAAGAUUCUUGAAUUGCAAUAUCUUGGAGGAAGACGAGUGGCAUUGGUUCGUUGUAAAUGGUGGGAUGUCUAUGAUAGAGAGAAAGGAGUUAAAAUAGAUGAAUAUGGAAUUGUUAGUGUUAACUCCCAACGACUUCUGAAAACAAAUGAGCCAUUUGUAUUAGCUAGCUAAGCAUCACAAGUUUUUUAUGCCCAUGACAAUAAAUGCAAAGGUUGGGAAUUAGUGAUAAAGACCCAACCUCGUGAUUCAUAUUCAA